Molecule: long non-coding RNA, 518 nt
Organism: Hemicordylus capensis (graceful crag lizard)
Lineage: Eukaryota; Metazoa; Chordata; Lepidosauria; Squamata; Cordylidae
Exons: 3
Source: RefSeq, a predicted model, not a curated record
CGCGCCGGGAAACCUCUGGGUCCUAGAGCCUGCGCAGCCGGGUGAGCGGCCCCUGACUCUCGGGAGCAAAAGAGGAGGCCCCGUAGCCCCAUCCAGUGCCUGCCUACUCAGAAAUUCUUUCUACCCCAAGGUGAAGUGAAGACAGCAAGCUAGACUCCGAAACUGUCAUUACCUGUCUUCGAAUUAAGGUGCAAGGUGCCUUUUCUGAGGAAAGGAACACAGGAGACAAAGGAAAUAUUAUCAGCAGUUAAUAAAAGAAUACUGUCCUCUGACUUCAUAAGUAUACCUCCACUGAAACUCAGACACGUACAUGGCAUAUGAAAACGAUUGAAGAGAAGACGACCUGCCACAGUCUACGGAGGCACUCCAGGAAUCAGUGGAAGCAGGUCUGAUAAGAAGCUCUAGAAAAGGACUCUUUGAAAAUCAUAUGAAAUGUAAGAAGAACAUGGGCAGGGGGAGAGAAACCAUCAAAAUGGCAGCAAUUUGAAAACAUUAAAAUAAAGUAUCUUAAGCCAGCA